Molecule: long non-coding RNA, 374 nt
Organism: Mugil cephalus (flathead mullet)
Lineage: Eukaryota; Metazoa; Chordata; Actinopteri; Mugiliformes; Mugilidae
Exons: 3
Source: RefSeq, a predicted model, not a curated record
AGAUUGAAAUCAGGCUCAGACGCCAUUACAGGGUCUACGAUCUCUGCAGGAAAACACAUAUUUGGAGGAUUUUAAGAAGAAAAGUGAAGAGACUGUACAUUGACGUUCCCACUCCCACAUCCCAACGUUCUCAGCCGGACAUCCCAUGAUCCCCAAACUGUACGUGAUGCCAUGGAAACAGGACAUGAAGAACCAGAGGCUGCUGAUGAAGAACGCAGCUCUGGCUGGGAUCCCUGUGCUUCCUCUGGAGGAGUCUUUGUGUUUUUGUGGUCGGGAGCGUCUCUGCCACAGCCAGCGCUCCACCCAGACCUCCUCCUCCUCCUCCUGCUCCUCCUCCUGGGCUCCUCUCAGCCAGACAGGACUGACAGCUCCAU